Molecule: ribosomal RNA, 468 nt
Filed under: uncultured bacterium
Lineage: Bacteria
Description: partial 16S ribosomal RNA
Rfam family: Bacterial small subunit ribosomal RNA
Source: RNAcentral
GACGAACGCUGGCGGCGUGCUUAACACAUGCCAGUCGAACGGAAAGGCCCUGCUUUUGUGGGGUGCUCGAGUGGCGAACGGGUGAGUAACACGUGAGUAACCAGCCCUUGACUUUGGGAUAACUUCAGGAAACUGGGGCUAAUACCGGAUAGGAGCUCCUGCUGCAUGGUGGGGGUUGGAAAGUUUCGGCGGUUGGGGAUGGACUCGCGGCUUAUCAGCUUGUUGGUGGGGUAGUGGCUUACCAAGGCUUUGACGGGUAGCCGGCCUGAGAGGGUGACCGGCCACAUUGGGACUGAGAUACGGCCCAGACUCCUACGGGAGGCAGCAGUGGGGAAUAUUGCACAAUGGGCGGAAGCCUGAUGCAGCAACGCCGCGUGCGGGAUGACGGCCUUCGGGUUGUAAACCGCUUUCGCCUGUGACGAAGCGUGAGUGACGGUAAUGGGUAAAGAAGCACCGGCUAACUACGUG